Molecule: RNA transcript, 654 nt
Organism: Panicum virgatum (switchgrass)
Lineage: Eukaryota; Viridiplantae; Streptophyta; Magnoliopsida; Poales; Poaceae
Gene name: 50S ribosomal protein L33-like
Exons: 2
Source: RefSeq, a predicted model, not a curated record
GGAGCUCCCACGGAAGUCCCCCUCUCUCCUCUCUCUCUCUCGGCCGCCUUCUUUCUUCUCCUUUCCAAGCGGCGACGACAGGGGAGUGGCGCCGCCCUUGCCAGUUUCGUCGGGCGCUUCGCCGGCCAAGUCUCCUUUUCUAAACUCGUAGUCGCUGAUGGGGAAAGCAAAGCGUGCCUCAAUCUUCAUCAGGCUGGUUUCUGCAGCCGGUACUGGGUUCUUCUAUGUGAAGCGCAAGAAUCCUCGGCGGAUCACUGAGAAGCUUGAAUUUAGGAAGUAUGAUCCCCGUGUGAACAAGCAUGUUCUGUUCACAGAAGCAAAGAUGAAGUGAGAUCUUCUACCUUCACACAAUGCAGAACAGGAAUAGGUUGUCAGCAUUUUGCAAUCAGAAAUCUCUAGUACCAUUAAGGAUGUCAUGUUCUGGUUUCCAGUGUUCCAUUUGGAUAACUGUAAUGGGCAUAUGAUUAAGGAUUUGAUGUGCUCUUCCAGUCGAUUUUUUGCAACAAUAAACAUUUUGUUGCUCGAGUGAGCUGCAGACCUGCAAACGACUAGUUUUUUUUAAAAUAAUUUUCUUUUGAGGUAUGAGCUAUAAUCAGCUCCUGAUGAAGGAAAUCUGGACCUCCCAAGUUCUAUUUACACCUUUCAAUCCCACCA